RNAcentral lists this ribosomal RNA (1435 nucleotides) under uncultured organism. Its description in RNAcentral is "SSU rRNA". It matches the Rfam family "Bacterial small subunit ribosomal RNA". The record is from RNAcentral.
GCUUAACACAUGCAAGUCGAGGGGCAGCAUUUCAGUUUGCUUGCAAACUGGAGAUGGCGACCGGCGCACGGGUGAGUAACACGUAUCCAACCUGCCGAUAACUCGGGGAUAGCCUUUCGAAAGAAAGAUUAAUACCCGAUGGUAUAAUCAGACCGCAUGGUCUUGUUAUUAAAGAAUUUCGGUUAUCGAUGGGGAUGCGUUCCAUUAGGCAGUUGGUGAGGUAGCGGCUCACCAAACCUUCGAUGGAUAGGGGUUCUGAGAGGAAGGUCCCCCACAUUGGAACUGAGACACGGUCCAAACUCCUACGGGAGGCAGCAGUGAGGAAUAUUGGUCAAUGGGCGCAGGCCUGAACCAGCCAAGUAGCGUGAAGGAUGACUGCCCUAUGGGUUGUAAACUUCUUUUAUAUGGGAAUAAAGUUUUCCACGUGUGGAAUUUUGUAUGUACCAUAUGAAUAAGGAUCGGCUAACUCCGUGCCAGCAGCCGCGGUAAUACGGAGGAUCCGAGCGUUAUCCGGAUUUAUUGGGUUUAAAGGGAGCGUAGGUGGACAGUUAAGUCAGUUGUGAAAGUUUGCGGCUCAACCGUAAAAUUGCAGUUGAUACUGGCUGUCUUGAGUACAGUAGAGGUGGGCGGAAUUCGUGGUGUAGCGGUGAAAUGCUUAGAUAUCACGAAGAACUCCGAUUGCGAAGGCAGCUCACUGGACUGCAACUGACACUGAUGCUCGAAAGUGUGGGUAUCAAACAGGAUUAGAUACCCUGGUAGUCCACACAGUAAACGAUGAAUACUCGCUGUUUGCGAUAUACAGUAAGCGGCCAAGCGAAAGCAUUAAGUAUUCCACCUGGGGAGUACGCCGGCAACAGUGAAACUCAAAGGAAUUGACGGGGGCCCGCACAAGCGGAGGAACAUGUGGUUUAAUUCGAUGAUACGCGAGGAACCUUACCCGGGCUUAAAUUGCAUUUGAAUAUAUUGGAAACAGUAUAGCCGUAAGGCAAAUGUGAAGGUGCUGCAUGGUUGUCGUCAGCUCGUGCCGUGAGGUGUCGGCUUAAGUGCCAUAACGAGCGCAACCCUUAUCUUUAGUUACUAACAGGUCAUGCUGAGGACUCUAGAGAGACUGCCGUCGUAAGAUGUGAGGAAGGUGGGGAUGACGUCAAAUCAGCACGGCCCUUACGUCCGGGGCUACACACGUGUUACAAUGGGGGGUACAGAAGGCAGCUACCUGGUGACAGGAUGCUAAUCCCAAAAGCCUCCCUCAGUUCGGAUCGAAGUCUGCAACCCGACUUCGUGAAGCUGGAUUCGCUAGUAAUCGCGCAUCAGCCAUGGCGCGGUGAAUACGUUCCCGGGCCUUGUACACACCGCCCGUCAAGCCAUGAAAGCCGGGGGUACCUGAAGUACGUAACAGCAAGGAGCGUCCUAGGGUAAAACUGGUGACUGGGGCUAA